Molecule: transfer RNA, 69 nt
Filed under: Heterocephalus glaber (naked mole-rat)
Lineage: Eukaryota; Metazoa; Chordata; Mammalia; Rodentia; Bathyergidae
Rfam family: tRNA
About the family: Transfer RNA (tRNA) molecules are approximately 80 nucleotides in length. Their secondary structure includes four short double-helical elements and three loops (D, anti-codon, and T loops).
Source: Rfam by way of RNAcentral
GGGGAUUUAGCUCAGUGGUGCAGUGCCUGCCUGGCAAGCAUGAAGCCCUGGGUUUGAUUCCCGGUACCA